Acinonyx jubatus (cheetah) is the source of this 4439-nucleotide long non-coding RNA. RefSeq lists it as uncharacterized. The transcript has 3 exons. The record is from RefSeq and is a predicted model, not a curated record. NCBI's taxonomy places the organism in Eukaryota, Metazoa, Chordata, Mammalia, Carnivora, Felidae.
UGGGCUGGGUGAAGAUAAGGAAACAACUAUGGUGCUAUUUUUAUGAAGGAAGGCCAUUUUUUAAACAUCCUUCUUAUGCAAAUUAUAUAUAACUCUUGGGUCACAGAAGUGCAUUUUAUCCAGGACUAGCCUCCUGAAUAGCUUAGGACUAUGGAGUUUCCAGAUCUGUUAGGGUCUUAUGUAGUCCUGGGUCACCUGCCUGAGGAUGUAGCUUGAGUUAGUCUCCCUGGCCACAGUGUAUCCAGCUGAGGCCAAUUAUGUACAGUCAAUCCAUAUGCCUCAACAAAGUAAUAGAUUCCAAAGGCUUUGAGAGCCUAGCGUGUGACAUUCAAGCCUGGGGAACCAGCAAGCUGAACAGGAGUAAAUGCUAGGGGUCACAGAUUACUGGUCAGUUCAGAUACAGGGUGCAGGGGAGACCUCCUUUGGGUCCAUCUCGAGGACUUUUUAUUAAUACCCUUCUGGGCUUUGGAAGCUUUAGUCCAGGGGACAUCAAGUUUCACAAAUUGUUUGUGACUGGAUAAUGGCUUCACAAGGGGACAGGGACAGCCGUGCCGAGGUCAGAAAGUCUGUUUGGGAAUUUAUUGAAAUGUCUUCAAAGGAAGAAAGAAGUGCUGAAAGUCAGUGAUUAAGUGGUCCUAAUCCUUCAUCUUGUAGUGAAGUAGGGCUAGGAGCUAGCUCAUUUCUGUUGAUUCAGAGAAAAUAGACCAUUCCUAGGAAUUGUACAGUCUGGAAAUGUUUACCUGUGAGGAAAUCAUUCCAUUUUAACUUCACAGAUUUAUGCCUGUCCUUGUAUCAGAGGUGGCAAACUUGGGGGGUUGGGAGAUGUCUUUAUGCCUACUUGUGAGUUUAGCCAAAACCUGGGUGACGCCAGGCCUGUGCUCUUGGAAUACACAUUUUCCACAGCUGUCCAGGAAGGGUUGCAGGAGAUGUCAUCUGAAGUCAGCAGGUGUAGUUCGAGGUUAGGUGAAGGGAAAAGAGCCUGGUUAAAAUGAGCUCAGCCAGUUCCUGUUCUUAUCUGGAAACCACAUCUUCCAAAAUUUUUAAUAACUUUGUAAGUUUAAACUUUUUUUUCUCCCUAGCGUGGACCUUCUGGGUUCUGAGUCUCAGUCUUCACUUGAUCUUAGCCAAAAGGCCGAGAAGCGAUUUGAGUCUCAGUCUUAAUAGGGAGUUAAAUUUCCUUUAGAAAAAUUGUGUGUGUGUGUGUGUGUGUGUGUGUGUGUGUGUGUGUGUGUCUUUUAAUCUGACCUCAAUCUCUCUUUUCCUGCUGUUUGCUUGGUAGGUCCUCUCCCUCCCUUCAGUCAGCUUGCUCGGAACCAAGAAAAGCCAGGGGAACAUUUGUUUACCUUCCCAGGAAAGGCCUGAUAAUUGAUCUCUGCUCUGCUUUGGAGACUCUGCUUUGCUUUGGAAGAUCUCUGCUACUUCAACUUCGAGGCUGUGGCUGCUUCCUUCCCUCCUGCCCAAAUCCCUCCUCUUACCGUGCCCCCAUCCCUCUUUCUCUCAGCUUUUCACAUUUUAGUAACAGAUCAUGGACACUUUUGGAUGUUAGUCUCUCUGUGGAUACUGUGUGGAUACUGUAUACAUACAAUGAGUCUUAUAUAUUUGACAUUGCAAGGCGAUUUAUUCUAAUAACUGAAUCAAAGUCUUAUAGUAUGUGCUUAAUUAUUAUUUUCUCUUCUUAUUUUAUGCUAUUGCUACAAAAAUGUACAUUCAUAAAUUAUAGUAACUAAGAAUUUCGAUUAGAAUGAUAAUCGCAGUAUCAAAGAUUGGUGGUGGGGGGAACCCCAGACAUUAUACCAACCUCUUAAUUCUUACACAUUAUAUUUUAGUUUUUGAAGAUGUAAUUUUUCAGUGUGUGUGUGUGUGUGUGUGUGUGUGUGUGUGUGUGUGUAUAGUUUUAUAUUCCAGUUUUGUAAGUAAUCAUUAUUUCUAUAAGUCUACAUAAUUAUUACCUAAUGGACUUAAUCUUAUCUCUCAUUUACAUACAUAUGAGCAAUUCACUAUUUAGGCGACUUUAAUUUCCUUUCUUCCUGCCUUCUUCCUGCCUUCUUUCUUCCUUUCCUGUAUUAGAACUCCAUUUGGAAUAGAUCUCUUAUUAAUGUAGGUGUUUGCUUUUGUUAAAUGUAUUUCCUCCUGAAACAUUCCUGUGAACAGGGUUGCUAGGUAAAAGGAUAUGAACAGAAAUGGUUUUACAAACAAAAAUAAUUUUUAAACUUUUAAUGCUUCCAGCUGUGUAAGUCUAUACAAGUUUCACCAUGGCCUUGAGCAUCAUAUAGUAUCAUUUAAAACAUAUUUUAUUAAUUUGAUAUGAUUAAAUUGUUACCUCUAGUUUGCUUUAAUUUGCUUUUCUUCUUCUUUUCCUGUUCCUUUAGGACCAUGGUGAGCGGAGGUUACAGAGCUAUUCUGAUUGGCCUCGCAGUGUCAUCCACUCGAUUGGUUGUAAGAAAGUAGGCUCAUUGUGAGAGAAAGAGGUGGCCUGGCAUGGAUGGCCUGCCAUUGCUGUACCUGGGAGACUUGUUCUACUCUCUGAAUUUGUUCCUAACCCUGGCCACCAAGGAUUUAUUACAGAGCCCUGGUGGCCCCACACAUGAGAAUGCCCUUUAACCAGUUGGGAGCUCUCCCAGGGAGCUGGAGGAUCCAGGAUCGCUCAACUUACAGUGUGAGUGAUUCUUGAAACCUACCUAUUUUUGGAAUGAGUCUGGUAACUGGAGCAGAAGCUUUGUUGGAGAGGCCUUGCUUGUAGUUAGGACUUCACAGAUGGAACAGAAUUCUGAAGAUGAAGUGAAAUUUGAUGCUUGAACAAGCCUCCUCAGCUGCAAAUUGAUGGAUACAGAGAACCAGCCACAUGGAGUGUUCAUAUGAUUGUUGCCAUCUGUCUUUAAAUAUAACAUUCUACCAUGCGUCUCUAAGUAACAACAAAAUCUCCACCUGGAACCACUAAUGAAGCUUAAGUCUACAUUUCCCAAACAUACAGAUUAUGGAAAGAUCAAGAACUAAAGAGAGAACAAGAUAACUUAUAUGAAGAAAAUAUGAAUAUUAUAAAAGAAGAUAGGAAAAGUGAAAGAAAGUAGGGAAUUAAUUGAACAGCAGGAAGAAGAUGGACAAUUUCCAAGAACAAUAUAUUCCUCCCACUCUAAAACUGGGGAGUUUAAUUUCCUCCAUUUCUUUCAUAAUUACUGGGAGAAACUCUUCAGAGCUAAUACAUUUUAUUUGUUUAGUUAGAAAAUACUUAUUAUACAGGACCUACAUAAAUGUCAAUAGAGUUGUUUUGACUCUUUAUUAAAAUUUUAUAUUCUUAGAUACUAUAUGCUAUACUACAUUUUAAAAUAGCCUUCACAAAUAGAAUUGCUCUACUUUUGUUGCUAAAUUUGGAAUGAAUUAGGAGAGCUUUAGAAUGCAUUAAAAUUAACUUUAUGCGUAUAAAAUCACCUUUUGAAUUUUUUUUAAUAAAACUGGUCUAACCAAAUUUAAGCUGAAGGAGACUUUAUGAACUGAUUUAAGAAAAGCAAUUGCAUCCUGGGACAUCAUAAAAUGAGCAGGAUUCAAAAUAAUUAAGCCCCCUCUUACCCGUAGGGUGAUUUCUAAUUAGAAGUUUCUUCUUGGAGAGUAUAGUAUUGUGUCAUCAAACUUCAGUCCCUUCUUAAUAUGUCCUGGAUAUAGACCUUCAAUUAAGGAAAUUCAUGUCCAAAUACUCCAUUUAAGAGAGUAGAUUUGCACUGCCUACUUCUCAAACUAAGUGGGAUUUUGGAAACUCCCCAAUUCUUUUUCAAUUCCCAAAGGAACAUUAAAAUUUACAAGUUAGAUAAUACUUUUUAAAGACAGAAAGUGCUUCCUCUAUAUUGAUACUUUAUUUUUUUUCAAAAAGCAUUAGAGGCCAUGAAGGGUGAAUCUUUAUACUACCUAGCCAGAAAUUGGUAGCUAUGUAGAGAAUAAAGAUAUUAUCUUAUUGGAGUCAUCUUCAUAUUUUGAAACACUUUGUGACUAGAGAAUAAAUGCAGAUGCUUAGCUUGACUCAGAAGUCUUAGAUGGAAUGAGAGCAUAUGUAAAACUAAGUCUAAGAACAAUACACUCCUUGUUGUUGAAAGAAGAAAACCACCCACGUAAAGUCAUUAGAGUUUGACAUUGAAGAUCAGUCCAGAGCUGGAAGAUUCUAAGUUGGAAGACUGAUGAUCUAUCAAGACUGGAAGUGAAAUGUUCAAUGACUAGGUGUCACUGAGAGAAAUACUCUUGGCCCUAUAAAAUACACAGGAAAUGAUAUUUCAUGGAAAAGCCCUAUACAGUACCCCAAAUGAGUCAUUAAUGGAGUCAGGAUAAAAUGGAAACUUGUGAUGAGCUUCUUUACUAAAUUAAACUGACUUUAAAAAAUGAAUUAACUUCCUAAUAUUAAAAUAGAGUUCAUUAUUAAGAAACCGGAAAACAUCAGAAUACUGGUUGAAAGAAUA